CAGCCUGUUGUCCCAGUUGCCUCUUGUCCCAGCCCUUUAAAAGAGUGAGAUCUUCAGCUUGAGCAACUACUAUGUACAGAAGUGCUGGGCAACUUAGGAGACACUUAUUUUUAUGGGAUCUUCCUCCUUUCUCUCUUCAUCCUUCUUUGCCAGUUUCUCUUCCCUUUGAUUUUUUUUUUCACAGCUAUCUCACCGUCUCAGGCCUGGAAAAAACAUGGAAAUGAUUCCAUUCUUUUUCUUUUAGGGAUAUAGAAACUGAGAUCAUAUUUUUAAUUAAGUGGCUUGAUGAAGAUCACACAUCGUGUAGGUGGAAUUACCAGGACUGUAGGACAAAUUCAAUGUCAAAUUUCCUUAUGUCAUGUUGUCUCUGUCAGUACACCUCCUUAGUUAUACUGGAAAGGUGGUGGGCAGGUUAGCUAGUGAGUCAAAUUGCAAACCUAUAUGCAGUUAUUGUAGCACAGUGCAAAGGGCUGUAGAAGUGCAAUUAGAGGAAAUAAUUCCAGGUAGACUAGAUUUUGCCUCUGCUUCUUACUGCAUGACCUUUGGCCAAUUAUUUAACUUCUCUGUUCUUUGGGGUCCUCAUAUAUAUAAAAUAGAGCAUAAAACCCACCUCAUGAGGCCAAAAUGAGGAUUUAUUGGAUGCAUGCAUCUGAGGUCAUUGUGGUACUUGGUACUGCCACCUAUUACGUUUCUCUAAACAAUAGCUAAAACAUUUUCCUUCGGAUUUCCUUCCUCAUCUUUCUCUUCAAACAACAUAUCUUAGCCCAUAUUCAACUUAGAAAAUUAAAAUAUCUAUUAGUGGCUUUGCAGGAGUAACUUUUCCUCUGUGUAAGUUUUAAGACUUUUCAAAUUAGUAUAAACUGUGCUUUUUAUAAAUGUACUGCUUGUUAUCCAAUUCCAGAUCACAAAUACAGGUGUAAAAUCAUACAAUUUGCAAUGCAUGCUACUUCUACCAAAUAACUCUUCAUCCUUCAAAAUAUUUUCAUGUAUUAUUACUUUCUAUUUUCAAUCUGUUGGGCAGAGAACUGUACCCACUUCAACUCUGAAUCAAUUCUCUGAGCAAAUGUCAAAAUUUAUCCCAUCACAGACUUUAUUUAAAUGUGUUCUUGUAGUCAACUAAUUCUGUUACUGCAUUUGGAGGGAAAAAUCUAUUGAAUUUGCCUUGUGGGAUUUAUUUUUCAUAAGCCACACUUCGUUAUUGCUUUUAAUUCCAAUAUCUUCUGAAGUGCUACAGAUUUUUCUUUCAUAAAGAGCAUUUGUUAAUAUACUAAGGAUUGAUGUUACUGAGGAGUAAUUUCUAGGCUUCCUGUUCUAAUGCUCUUUGAAAUGGAUUAUGGUAUUUGGCCUCACAUAUUACCCCAGUUCACUAUAACCUCAGGAAAAACGAGUGGUAUUUCCAAGUUAACCAACUACCAUGCUCUCUAGAAUGUAUAGUACAGGUAACUUGAUAUUUUAGGACCCUGAUUCUUUUUUUUUAUGCUUUUUAAUAAUUUUUAUUUUUUCCAUCAUAGUUGGUUUACAGUGUUUUGCCAGUUUUAUGCUGUAUAGCAAGGUGACCCAGUCACACAUACAUAUAUACAUUCUUUUUCUCACAUUAUCAUGCUCUAUCAUAAGUGACUAGAUAACAGUUCCCAGUGCUAUAAGAGCAGGAUCUCAUUGCUUAUCCAUUUCAAAGGCAAUAGUUUGCAUCUAUUAACCCCAAAUUCCCAGUCCAACCCACUCUCUCCCCUUCCCCUUUGGCAAGCACAAGUCUGUUCUCUGAGUCCAGGACACCCUGCUUUUUUUUAAAACCAAAUCAUGUAUUAUGCAUUCUGAUUAUGAAAGUAAUAUGUUUAUAAUAUGUAAGAUCAAAUAAGAAAAAUUAAAACACAAAUCACCUCUUACCCAGAGAUAAUCACAAUUAAUAUUUUAGUUAUAUUUUCAAUUACAUGUAUGUUUAUGUAUUUUUAAAAAUGAUAAUGGAUCAUACUAUUCACAUAUUUUGUCCAUUUUUGAAUGACAUAUACUUAUACAUAUACAAGUCAUACUUAUUUCAGGUAAUUUAUAGUUUCUAAUUUUUAUAAAUUUUUAUAAUAAAUGCUAAAAUCAGCCCAUAUAAAAAGAGUGAUAACUUACUUUUAUUGAGUAUCUAUUAUUUGUUAGACAUUUUACAUACAAAUUUCUUUCUGUACACUCUUUAAGUUGCAAAGUAGGAAUUAUUACCUUCUCAUUAUAGAUGAAAAAAGAACUGGAUUACCUUUUUAAAGUUAAUCAAUGCCAAAUAUCUAGAAAGUGAAGUAAUUAGGAUUCAAAACUAGACAGGCUUAUGUGGAUUUCUGCUUUUAUCAUUUAUGUUACAUGUCCCUAGAGUAAAUCACUGAAAGUAAAUUAACUAUUUCAUGGAGAAAACCCAUCCUAAAUCAUUUACUGUAUCAUCCCACCCAAAGAGACUAUAUUCUUAUCUAUAUUCUAAAGACUUAUUUAGGAGUUGUUGUUGUGGCUCAGCAGUAUCCAUGAAGAUGCAGAUUUGAUGAUCCCUCACCUUGCUCAGUGGGUUAAGGAUUCAGUCAUUGCCUUGAACUGUGGUGUAGGUUGCAGACUGGGCUCAGAUCUGGCUGUGGCUGUGGCUGUGGCUGUGGCGAAGACCAGCAGCUGCAGCUCUGAUUUGACUCCUAGCCUAGGAACUUCCAUAUGUUGCAGAUGCAGCCCUGAAAAGCAAAAGACUUUUUUAAAAAUCCCCAUUAUGUAUAUAUACCACAUCUUCCUAAUCCAAUCAUCUGUUGAUGGACAUUUGGGUUGUUUCCAUGUCCUGGCUAUUGUGAAUAGUGCUGCAAUGAACAUGCGGAUGCAUGUGUCUCUUUUAAGUAGAGUUUUGUCCGGAUAGAUGCCCAAGAGUGGGAUUGUGGGGUCAUAUGGAAGUUCUAUGUAUAGAUUUAUAAGGUAUCUCCAAACUGUUCUCCAUAGUGGCUGUACCAGUUUACAUUCUCACCAACAGUGCCGGAGAGAGAGGUAGGGAGUGGGAGGGAUGGGGAGCUUGGGCUUAUCAGGCACAAUUUAGAAUAGAUUUAGAAGAAGAUCCUGCUGAGUAGCAUUAAGAACUAUGUCUAGAUACUCAUGUUGCAACAGAACAAAGGGUGGGGAAAAAAUGUAUACAUGUAAGGAUAACUUGAUCCCCUUGCUGUACAGUGGGAAAAAAUAAAAAAAUAAAAAGAUAAUAAUAAAAAAAAAGGAGUUCCCGUCGUGGCGCAGUGGUUAAUGAAUCCGACUAGGAACCAUGAGGUUUCGGAUUCGGUCCCUGCCCUUGCUCAGUGGGUUAAUGAUCUGGCGUUGCCGUGAGCUGUGGUGUAGGUUGCAGACGCAGCUCAGAUCCUGCAUUGCUGUGGCCCUGGCGUAGGCUGGUGGCUAUAGCUCCGAUUCAACCCCUAGCCGGGGAACCUCCAUAUGC
This 3424-nucleotide long non-coding RNA is filed under the name Sus scrofa (pig). Its description in RNAcentral is "lncRNA (ENSSSCG00015025937.1)". Lineage: Eukaryota; Metazoa; Chordata; Mammalia; Artiodactyla; Suidae. The record is from RNAcentral.